Molecule: long non-coding RNA, 225 nt
Organism: Oreochromis aureus
Lineage: Eukaryota; Metazoa; Chordata; Actinopteri; Cichliformes; Cichlidae
Exons: 3
Source: RefSeq, a predicted model, not a curated record
AGAAGAUGAAGAUACAAGCUGGUGAUGAUCCAGAGCAGCUGGUCUCAGGAAAUGAAAUAAAACCCUGAUCACCUUUUCCACAGAAACAAGAUCUCUGCAGAUCCUGAAGUCGAACUCCCAGUGACCCCAUGCAUCCUAAUCAGAGGUGACCAGCAAUUCAAGAUUGCUGUUGAUGGGUUACUUGUCAAUGACCACAUCACCUCUCCCAUUGUGGCCUUGAGCUAC